RNAcentral lists this ribosomal RNA (575 nucleotides) under Phanerochaete sp. AX156. RNAcentral's name for it is "eukaryotic LSU rRNA". The stretch from base 223 to 376 matches the Rfam family "5.8S ribosomal RNA". The record is from RNAcentral. Lineage: Eukaryota; Fungi; Basidiomycota; Agaricomycetes; Polyporales; Phanerochaetaceae.
CGUAACAAGGUUUCCGUAGGUGAACCUGCGGAAGGAUCAUUAUCGAGUUUUUGAACGGGUUGUCGCUGGCCGUGUAUGCGGCAUUGUGCACGCCUGGCUCAUCCACUCUUAACCCCUGUGCACCAUAUGUAAGAAUGAAGGGACGCAAGUCUUUGAGUUCUUAUGUUUUAUUACAAACGCUUCAGUUUUCAGAAUGUUUAGUUGUGUAUAACACAAAUGUACAACUUUCAGCAACGGAUCUCUUGGCUCUCGCAUCGAUGAAGAACGCAGCGAAAUGCGAUAAGUAAUGUGAAUUGCAGAAUUCAGUGAAUCAUCGAAUCUUUGAACGCACCUUGCGCUCCUUGGUAUUCCGAGGAGCAUGCCUGUUUGAGUGUCGUGAAAUUCUCAAUCCCCUAGAUUUCUUGUCUAGUGGGGCUUGGACUUGGAGGCUUGUGUUGGCUUUCAUUAGCUGACUCCUCUUAAAUGCAUUAGCGUGAAUCUUUUACGGAUCGCCUUCAGUGUGAUAAUUAUCUGCGCUGUGGUGUUGAAGUAUCAUUUUGAUAGCUCAUGCAUCUGACGAUGUUGGAAAUAGACGU